UCCUGUCCUGCUGUCCUCACUCCAGAUCUUGUCCCCUCUUUGCGUCCAGGUGCCCCAAUUUCAGGUCCCAGUGUCCCCAUUUGGGGUCUCAGUGUCCCCUCCUCCCAUCCUGGCGUCCCCAUUUGGGGUCCUGGUCCCCUCACUCCAGGUCUUGUCCCCUCUUUGUGUCCAGGUGUCCCAAUAUCAGGUCCCAGUGUCCCCUCUUCCCAUCCUGACGCCCCCAUUUUGGGUCCUGGCGACUCCUCUUCCUGUCCUGCUGUCCUCACUCCAAGUCUUGUCCCCUCCUCCCAUCCUGGCGUCCCCAUUUGGGGUCCUGGUCCCCUCACUCCAGGUCUUGUCCCCUCUUUGUGUCCAGGUGUCCCAAUUUCAGGUCCCAGUGUCCCCUCUCCCCAUCCUGGCGUCCCCAUGUUGGGCCCUGGUCCCCUCACUCCAGGUCUUGUCUCCUCCUCCCAUCCUGACGCCCCCAUUUGGGGUCCUUUUGACCCCUCUUCCCAUCCUGACGCCCCCAUUUGG
Long non-coding RNA from Tympanuchus pallidicinctus (lesser prairie-chicken), 513 nucleotides. RefSeq lists it as uncharacterized. Lineage: Eukaryota; Metazoa; Chordata; Aves; Galliformes; Phasianidae. The record is from RefSeq and is a predicted model, not a curated record. The transcript has 4 exons.